Molecule: ribosomal RNA, 397 nt
Filed under: uncultured eukaryote
Lineage: Eukaryota
Description: SSU rRNA
Rfam family: Eukaryotic small subunit ribosomal RNA
Source: RNAcentral
CAAUAGCGUAUAUUAAAGUUGUUGCAGUUAAAAAGCUCGUAGUUGGAUUUCUGAAGGUAGUAGUCGGGCUGCCCCGUGUGGGUACGUCUACAACUAUCUUCAUCCUUCUGUUAACGAUUCUUGGCCUUCAUUGGCUGGUUUCGAGCUCAGAUACUUUACCUUGAGAAAAUUAGAGUGUUUCAGGCAGGCUUUGCGCCGGAAUACAUUAGCAUGGAAUAAUAGAAUAGGACUUCGUCUCAUUUUGUUUGGUUUUAUGAACGGAGUAAUGAUUAAUAGGGAUAGUUGGGGGCGAUUAGUAUUUAACUUGUCAGAGGUGAAAUUCUUUGAUUUGUUAAAGACUAACUUAUGCGAAAGCAUUUGUCCAAGAAUGUUUUCUAUUAAUCAAGAACGAAAGUUA